GAUGAACGCUAGCGACAGGCUUAACACAUGCAAGUCGAGGGGCAGCGGGGGUAGCAAUACCCGCCGGCGACCGGCGCACGGGUGAGUAACGCGUAUGCAACUUACCUAUCAGAGGGGGAUAACCCGGCGAAAGUCGGACUAAUACCGCAUGAAGCAGGGGCCCCGCAUGGGGAUAUUUGCUAAAGAUUCAUCGCUGAUAGAUAGGCAUGCGUUCCAUUAGGCAGUUGGCGGGGUAACGGCCCACCAAACCGACGAUGGAUAGGGGUUCUGAGAGGAAGGUCCCCCACAUUGGUACUGAGACACGGACCAA
Molecule: ribosomal RNA, 310 nt
Filed under: uncultured bacterium
Lineage: Bacteria
Description: bacterial SSU rRNA
Rfam family: Bacterial small subunit ribosomal RNA
Source: RNAcentral